AGGGUUUGAUCAUGGCUCAGAACGUACGCUGGCGGCACGCCUAACACAUGCAAGUCGAACGAAGUAGCAAUACUUAGUGGCAGACGGGUGAGUAACAUGUGGGUAUCUGCCCUUUGGCCUGGAAUAACACGAGGAAACUUGUGCUAAUACCGGAUAAGUCUUUACGGAGAAAGCUUUAUGCACCAUUGGAUGAGCCCGCACUUGAUUAGUUUGUUGGUGGGGUAAUGGCCUACCAAGACUGUGAUCAAUAGCUGAUUUGAGAGGAUGAUCAGCCACAUUGGGACUGAGACACGGCCCAAACUCCUACGGGAGGCAGCAGUGGGGAAUCUUGCACAAUGGAGGAAACUCUGAUGCAGCGAUGCCGCGUGAGUGAAGAAGGCCCUUGGGUUGUAAAGCUCUUUCGUCGGGGAAGAAAAUGACUGUACCCGAAUAAGAAGGUCCGGCUAACUUCGUGCCAGCAGCCGCGGUAAUACGAAGGGACCUAGCGUAGUUCGGAAUUACUGGGCUUAAAGAGUUCGUAGGUGGUUGAAAAAGUUAGUGGUGAAAUCCCAGAGCUUAACUCUGGAACUGCCAUUAAAACUUUUCAGCUAGAGUAUGAUAGAGGAAAGCAGAAUUUCUAGUGUAGAGGUGAAAUUCGUAGAUAUUAGAAAGAAUACCAAUUGCGAAGGCAGCUUUCUGGAUCAUUACUGACACUGAGGAACGAAAGCAUGGGUAGCGAAGAGGAUUAGAUACCCUCGUAGUCCAUGCCGUAAACGAUGUGUGUUAGACGUUGGAAAUUUAUUUUCAGUGUCGCAGCGAAAGCGAUAAACACACCGCCUGGGGAGUACGACCGCAAGGUUAAAACUCAAAUGAAUUGACGGGGACCCGCACAAGUAGUGGAGCAUGUGGUUUAAUUCGAAGAUACGCGCAGAACCUUACCAACACUUGACAUGUUCGUCGCGACUCUAAGAGAUUAGAGUUUUCGGUUCGGCCGGACGAAACACAGGUGCUGCAUGGCUGUCGUCAGCUCGUGUCGUGAGAUGUUGGGUUAAGUCCCGCAACGAGCGCAACCCUUGUCUUUAGUUGCUACGCAAGAGCACUCUAAAGAGACUGCCGGUGACAAACCGGAGGAAGGUGGGGAUGACGUCAAGUCCUCAUGGCCCUUAUGGGUAGGGCUUCACACGUCAUACAAUGGUGCAUACAGAGGGUUGCCAACCCGCGAGGGGGAGCUAAUCUCAGAAAAUGCAUCGUAGUCCGGAUCGUAGUCUGCAACUCGACUACGUGAAGCUGGAAUCGCUAGUAAUCGCGGAUCAGAAUGUCGCGGUGAAUACGUUCCCGGGUCUUGUACACACCGCCCGUCAUACCAUGGGAGUGGGUUUUGCCAGAAGCCGUUAGCCUAACCGCAAGGAGGGCGACUGCCACGGCAGGGUUCAUGACUGGGGUAAAGUCAUAACAAGGUAGCCGUA
This 1445-nucleotide ribosomal RNA is filed under the name uncultured bacterium. RNAcentral's name for it is "partial 16S ribosomal RNA". It matches the Rfam family "Bacterial small subunit ribosomal RNA". The record is from RNAcentral.